AAAGUACUCCCUCCAUCCCAAAAUUCUUGUCUUAGAUUUGUCUAGAUACGGAUGUAUCAAGUCACAUUUUAGUAUUAGAUACAUCCGUAUCUAGACAAAUCUAAGACAAGAAAUUUGGGACAGAGGGAGUAGUUG
Molecule: non-coding RNA, 135 nt
Organism: Triticum aestivum (bread wheat)
Lineage: Eukaryota; Viridiplantae; Streptophyta; Magnoliopsida; Poales; Poaceae
Source: Rfam